Molecule: ribosomal RNA, 466 nt
Filed under: uncultured Glomus
Lineage: Eukaryota; Fungi; Glomeromycota; Glomeromycetes; Glomerales; Glomeraceae
Description: SSU rRNA
Rfam family: Eukaryotic small subunit ribosomal RNA
Source: RNAcentral
AGCAGCCGCGGUAAUUCCAGCUCCAAUAGCGUAUAUUAAAGUUGUUGCAGUUAAAAAGCUCGUAGUUGAAUUUCGGGGUUAGUAGGUUGGUCAUGCCUCUGGUAUGUACUGGUCUCACUGAUUCCUCCUUCCUGAUGAACCUUAAUGCCAUUAAUUUGGUGUUUUGGGGAAUUUGGACUGUUACUUUGAAAAAAUUAGAGUGUUUAAAGCAAGCUAACGCUUGAAUACAUUAGCAUGGAAUAAUGAAAUAGGACGUUCGAUCCUAUUUUGUUGGUUUCUAGGAUUGACGUAAUGAUUAAUAGGGAUAGUUGGGGGCAUUAGUAUUCAAUUGUCAGAGGUGAAAUUCUUGGAUUUAUUGAAGACUAACUACUGCGAAAGCAUUUGCCAAGGAUGUUUUCAUUAAUCAAGAACGAAAGUUAGGGGAUCGAAGACGAUCAGAUACCGUCGUAGUCUUAACCAUAAACUA